ACACGACUACAUUAGAUACCCCGGUAGUCCCAGCCCUAAACGAUGCGCGUUAGGUGUAUCGGUGACCACGAGUCACCGAGGUGCCGAAGGGAAACCGUGAAACGUGCCGCCUGGGAAGUACGGUCGCAAGGCUGAAACUUAAAGGAAUUGGCGUGGGAGCACCACAACGGGUGGAGCCUGCGGUUUAAUUGGACUCAACGCCGGGAAGCUCACCGGAUAAGACAGCGGAAUGAUUGCCGGGCUGAAGACCCUGCAUGACCAGCUG
RNAcentral lists this ribosomal RNA (265 nucleotides) under uncultured archaeon. Its description in RNAcentral is "partial 16S ribosomal RNA". It matches the Rfam family "Archaeal small subunit ribosomal RNA", at positions 717 to 982 of the family's 1478-position model. The record is from RNAcentral.